AGUGAACGCUGGCGGUAGGCCUAACACAUGCAAGUCGAACGGCAGCACAGUAAGUGCUUGCUCUUACGGGAGGCGAGUGGCGGACGGGUGAGGAAUACAUCGGAAUCUACUUUUUCGCGGGGGAUAAUGUAGGGAAACCUACGCUAAUACCGCAUACGUCCUACGUGUGACAGCAGGGGACCUUCGGACUUUUUGCGAUUGAAUGAGCCGAUGUCGGAUUAGCUAGGUGGCGGGGUAAAGGCCCACCAAGGCGACGAUCCGUAGCUGGUCUGAGAGGAGGAUCAGACACACUGGAACUGAGACACGGUCCAGACUCCUACGGGAGGCAGCAGUGGGGAAUAUUGGCCGAUGGGCGCAGGCCUGAUCCAGCCAUACCGCGUGGGUGAAGAAGGCCUUCGGGUUGUAAAGCCCUUUUGUUGGGAAAGAAAAGCAGCAGGUUAAUACCCCGCUGUUCUGGCGGUACCCAAAGAAUGAGCACCGGCUAACUUCCUG
Molecule: ribosomal RNA, 492 nt
Filed under: uncultured bacterium
Lineage: Bacteria
Description: partial 16S ribosomal RNA
Rfam family: Bacterial small subunit ribosomal RNA
Source: RNAcentral